Molecule: transfer RNA, 66 nt
Filed under: uncultured Kiloniella sp.
Lineage: Bacteria; Pseudomonadati; Pseudomonadota; Alphaproteobacteria; Rhodospirillales; Kiloniellaceae
Rfam family: tRNA
About the family: Transfer RNA (tRNA) molecules are approximately 80 nucleotides in length. Their secondary structure includes four short double-helical elements and three loops (D, anti-codon, and T loops).
Source: RNAcentral
CCGUAGCUCAGUUGGUAGAGCGUCCGACUUUUAAUCGGCAGGUCACUGGUUCGAGCCCAGUCGGGC